This 63-nucleotide small nucleolar RNA is filed under the name Homo sapiens (human). RNAcentral describes it as "small nucleolar RNA SNORD44". It matches the Rfam family "Small nucleolar RNA SNORD44". From Rfam's summary of the family: U44 belongs to the C/D class of snoRNA which contain the C (UGAUGA) and D (CUGA) box motifs. Most of the members of the box C/D family function in directing site-specific 2'-O-methylation of substrate RNAs. Lineage: Eukaryota; Metazoa; Chordata; Mammalia; Primates; Hominidae. The record is from RNAcentral.
CCUGGAUGAUGAUAAGCAAAUGCUGACUGAACAUGAAGGUCUUAAUUAGCUCUAACUGACUAA